This is a microRNA precursor of Lupinus angustifolius (narrow-leaved blue lupine), 100 nucleotides long. The record is from Rfam. Lineage: Eukaryota; Viridiplantae; Streptophyta; Magnoliopsida; Fabales; Fabaceae.
CAUAAACUAAGGUAUUGGCGCGCCUCAAUUUGAAGACAUGGCUAUCAUGAAAACUAGCCUUGUAGUUUAAUUGAGCCGCGUCAAUAUCUCAUUUUGCACU